RNAcentral lists this ribosomal RNA (1176 nucleotides) under Escherichia coli. RNAcentral's name for it is "partial 23S ribosomal RNA". It matches the Rfam family "Bacterial large subunit ribosomal RNA", at positions 1 to 1219 of the family's 2925-position model. The record is from RNAcentral. Lineage: Bacteria; Pseudomonadati; Pseudomonadota; Gammaproteobacteria; Enterobacterales; Enterobacteriaceae.
GUUAAGCGACUAAGCGUACACGGUGGAUGCCCUGGCAGUCAGAGGCGAUGAAGGACGUGCUAAUCUGCGAUAAGCGUCGGUAAGGUGAUAUGAACCGUUAUAACCGGCGAUUUCCGAAUGGGGAAACCCAGUGUGUUUCGACACACUAUCAUUAACUGAAUCCAUAGGUUAAUGAGGCGAACCGGGGGAACUGAAACAUCUAAGUACCCCGAGGAAAAGAAAUCAACCGAGAUUCCCCCAGUAGCGGCGAGCGAACGGGGAGCAGCCCAGAGCCUGAAUCAGUGUGUGUGUUAGUGGAAGCGUCUGGAAAGGCGCGCGAUACAGGGUGACAGCCCCGUACACAAAAAUGCACAUGCUGUGAGCUCGAUGAGUAGGGCGGGACACGUGGUAUCCUGUCUGAAUAUGGGGGGACCAUCCUCCAAGGCUAAAUACUCCUGACUGACCGAUAGUGAACCAGUACCGUGAGGGAAAGGCGAAAAGAACCCCGGCGAGGGGAGUGAAAAAGAACCUGAAACCGUGUACGUACAAGCAGUGGGAGCACGCUUAGGCGUGUGACUGCGUACCUUUUGUAUAAUGGGUCAGCGACUUAUAUUCUGUAGCAAGGUUAACCGAAUAGGGGAGCCGAAGGGAAACCGAGUCUUAACUGGGCGUUAAGUUGCAGGGUAUAGACCCGAAACCCGGUGAUCUAGCCAUGGGCAGGUUGAAGGUUGGGUAACACUAACUGGAGGACCGAACCGACUAAUGUUGAAAAAUUAGCGGAUGACUUGUGGCUGGGGGUGAAAGGCCAAUCAAACCGGGAGAUAGCUGGUUCUCCCCGAAAGCUAUUUAGGUAGCGCCUCGUGAAUUCAUCUCCGGGGGUAGAGCACUGUUUCGGCAAGGGGGUCAUCCCGACUUACCAACCCGAUGCAAACUGCGAAUACCGGAGAAUGUUAUCACGGGAGACACACGGCGGGUGCUAACGUCCGUCGUGAAGAGGGAAACAACCCAGACCGCCAGCUAAGGUCCCAAAGUCAUGGUUAAGUGGGAAACGAUGUGGGAAGGCCCAGACAGCCAGGAUGUUGGCUUAGAAGCAGCCAUCAUUUAAAGAAAGCGUAAUAGCUCACUGGUCGAGUCGGCCUGCGCGGAAGAUGUAACGGGGCUAAACCAUGCACCGAAGCUGCGGCAGCGACACUAUGU